Molecule: regulatory RNA element, 47 nt
Organism: Orchesella cincta
Lineage: Eukaryota; Metazoa; Arthropoda; Collembola; Entomobryomorpha; Orchesellidae
Rfam family: Histone 3' UTR stem-loop
About the family: The mRNAs of metazoan histone genes lack a poly-A tail.
Source: Rfam
CCAACGGCCUUUUUAAAGGCCACCACAAUUUACAAAGAGCAUACAAU